RNAcentral lists this ribosomal RNA (459 nucleotides) under uncultured bacterium. RNAcentral's name for it is "bacterial SSU rRNA". It matches the Rfam family "Bacterial small subunit ribosomal RNA", at positions 923 to 1379 of the family's 1533-position model. The record is from RNAcentral.
GCACAAGCGGUGGAGCAUGUGGUUUAAUUCGACGCAACGCGCAGAACCUUACCAGCCCUUGACAUCCCGGUCGCGGACUCCAGAGAUGGAGUUCUUCAGUUCGGCUGGACCGGAGACAGGUGCUGCAUGGCUGUCGUCAGCUCGUGUCGUGAGAUGUUGGGUUAAGUCCCGCAACGAGCGCAACCCCCGUCCUUAGUUGCUACCAUUUAGUUGAGCACUCUAGGGAGACUGCCGGUGAUAAGCCGCGAGGAAGGUGGGGAUGACGUCAAGUCCUCAUGGCCCUUACGGGCUGGGCUACACACGUGCUACAAUGGCGGUGACAAUGGGAUGCUAAGGGGCGACCCUUCGCAAAUCUCAAAAAGCCGUCUCAGUUCGGAUUGGGCUCUGCAACUCGAGCCCAUGAAGUUGGAAUCGCUAGUAAUCGUGGAUCAGCACGCCACGGUGAAUACGUUCCCGGGC